AAUAGAGAGAUGAAAGUCGGAGUACUUCUUUACCAAUAGUUCAAGAGAGCCUAUAUUGCUGCGAGUAGGUACUAUGUGAAGAAGGAAUUGGAGACUUUUGUUACAUAUUUUUCUAUGUUGACUAGGCAUUAACUAGCGAAACAAGUGAUCACAGAAAUUGUGAUAACAAGGGUGGCACCGCGGUUCAUUCGUCCCUUAA
Molecule: non-coding RNA, 199 nt
Filed under: Gracilibacillus boraciitolerans
Lineage: Bacteria; Bacillati; Bacillota; Bacilli; Caryophanales; Bacillaceae
Description: T-box sequence
Rfam family: T-box leader
About the family: Uncharged tRNA acts as the effector for transcription antitermination of genes in the T-box leader family. T-boxes are found upstream of many aminoacyl-tRNA synthetase genes and some amino acid biosynthetic genes usually in Gram-positive bacteria.
Source: RNAcentral